Non-coding RNA from Enterococcus rotai, 204 nucleotides. Lineage: Bacteria; Bacillati; Bacillota; Bacilli; Lactobacillales; Enterococcaceae. The record is from Rfam.
UAUCAAACUUUAAUAAAGCGAAGUAGCAAGAAUGUCCCUAUUUCAGAGAGUCAACAUUUAGUGAGAGUUGGCAUAUACAUUUUUUGUGAAUUACACUUUUAGUUUCCUACCGUAAGUAGGCGUCUAUCUACGAUACAGAUUUGAGAGGUAUAUGAUACGUUCAUAUACAAUUUGGGUGGUAACACGGCGGAGUUCGUCCCAUAG